GGGGAUAACUAUUGGAAACGAUAGCUAAUACCGCAUAAGAGAGACUAACGCAUGUUAGUAAUUUAAAAGGGGCAAUUGCUCCACUAUGAGAUGGACCUGCGUUGUAUUAGCUAGUUGUGAGGUAAAGGCUCACCAAGGCGACGAUACAUAGCCGACCUGAGAGGGUGAUCGGCCACACUGGGACUGAGACACGGCCCAG
Molecule: ribosomal RNA, 199 nt
Filed under: uncultured Streptococcaceae bacterium
Lineage: Bacteria; Bacillati; Bacillota; Bacilli; Lactobacillales; Streptococcaceae
Description: partial 16S ribosomal RNA
Rfam family: Bacterial small subunit ribosomal RNA
Source: RNAcentral